Molecule: small nuclear RNA, 107 nt
Organism: Gracilinanus agilis (Agile Gracile Mouse Opossum)
Lineage: Eukaryota; Metazoa; Chordata; Mammalia; Didelphimorphia; Didelphidae
Source: RefSeq, a predicted model, not a curated record
GUGUUUGCUUUGGCUGCACAUAUCCUAAAACUAGAGUGAUAAAGAGAUAAUUAGCCUGGUCCCUGCACAAGGAGCACAUGGAAAUUCAUGAAACUUUCCACCUUAAA